CUCUAAGACAGGUGCUGCAUGGCUGUCGUCAGCUCGUGUUGUGAAAUGUUGGGUUUAAGUCCCGCAACGAGCGCAACCCUUAUCCUUGUUUGCCAGCGAGUAAUUGUCGGGAACUCCAGGGAGACUGCCGGUGAUAAACCGGAGGAAGGUGGGGACGACGUCAAGUCAUCAUGGCCCUUACGAGUAGGGCUACACACGUGCUACAAUGGCGCAUACAGAGGGCAGCAAACCAGCGAUGGUGAGCGAAUCCCAAAAAGUGCGUCGUAGUCCGGAUUGGAGUCUGCAACUCGACUCCAUGAAGUCGGAAUCGCUAGUAAUCGUGAAUCAGAAUGUCACGGUGAAUACGUUCCCGGGCCUUGUACACACCGCCCGUCACACCAUGGGAGUGGGCUGCAAAAGAAGUGGGUAGUUUAACCCUUUCGGGGAGGACGCUCACCACUUUGUGGUUCAUGACUGGGGUGAAGUCGUAACAAGGUAGCCCUAGGGGAACCUGGGGCUGGAUCACCUCCUUA
Molecule: non-coding RNA, 512 nt
Filed under: Vibrio genomosp. F10
Lineage: Bacteria; Pseudomonadati; Pseudomonadota; Gammaproteobacteria; Vibrionales; Vibrionaceae
Description: Vibrio sp. F10 Bacterial small subunit ribosomal RNA
Rfam family: Bacterial small subunit ribosomal RNA
Source: Rfam by way of RNAcentral